RNAcentral lists this long non-coding RNA (1409 nucleotides) under Numida meleagris (helmeted guineafowl). RNAcentral describes it as "lncRNA (ENSNMEG00000016165.1)". Lineage: Eukaryota; Metazoa; Chordata; Aves; Galliformes; Numididae. The record is from RNAcentral.
AUGCGCCGGGGCAGCCCCGGCUCUGUUUUGGCGGAGCUGGGCUCCCUCCCUCCUUUGUUAUCCUCCGUCUGCCCCCUCCGCUCUGUGUGUGUGUGCGCGCUCGAGUUCUUUCUCCGAUUGUCAGAAUUUUCUUUUCCACUGUGUGGGCAGGAGACAGAUUUUAACUGUCUCUAUUUUCUCCUCGGUAUUUUUUUUUUUUUUUUUUUCAAAUUUCGCUUUCUCCCCCCCCUCCCCCUUUCCCUCUCGCCUUUCUCCCUUCCCCUCUCCGCCGUCUCUCCUCCCUCUCUCCCUCCGCACCGCCGAUGCCUCGGGCAUAGCACGCAGCCGGAGCCAGCCAUGCCUCCCGCCCCAGGUGAGCCCCCGCCGGCUCCCCGCUCCCAUCCCAGCGCUGUCCCCGCGCCCGCUGCCACCUGUUGGGGACAACCACCAGCUGCCCGCGGGGAGCCGCCUUCCUCCUUCUCCUCCUCCUCCUCCUCCUCCGGGUGGACAUUUCCUCCCUCCCUUCUCCCGAGGCUUUUGUCUCAGCCCGGCGGCCGGGGAUGCUCGCGGCUCGGGGGGAUUUUUCCACGCUUCGAAGGGACGGAGCCUGGGACAGAGUGAUGAGCUGUGCCCGCUCCCAGGAUGCUCGGACUCGGCACGUGCUCCGUCAGUGCCCCGGGCAGGGCGGCUGAGCCGGCCGCAUCCCCCCACUACGCUCUGACCCUGCCCGAGGAGGAGAUGUGGCGCGAGCACCGACUUGCCCUGAUGCACAGCACCCAGUCCUGCAACUUGCUGGAGCCCCAGAGCCUGGCCGAGGUGCUGGUCUCACGCGCCGCCAGCUUCGAUGCCCUCUGCCAGCCGCGGGAUGCCGACGGUGACAGCGGCAGCGCCUUGGACCUGGGGCUCGGUGCCUAUGUCCCCAUCAGCCCCGAUGUCAUCAAGCGCCGUCGGGGAGGGCUGAUCGAGCAGAGGGACAUCAUCAAGGCACACGAGGCACACAAGAUGCAGAGCACGCCGCAGGCACGGAGGAAGGAGUGGGAGUAAGUAGGGGACGGGGCUGUCAGGGUGGGAGGGGCGGUCACAGCGGUGUCACCCCAAGGAGCAGCCGGUGUCACAGGGCUCAGCUUCCAGGGCGGUUUCUUUGAGUUUUUUUGGUGUGCGUGUGGGAGAUGGAGCGGUGAUGCGGUGCUGCACUGAAAUCGUAGGGUGUUCCCACUUGUGUCUGCUCGGCAGAACCAUGGGAUGGGCUGCUGCAUGGCGCCUUGCCCCCGCUGCCACCUGGCUGUGCCCUCUCCUGGGGCUGGCACUGUUUGGCUGGACACUGUUGGAGUUGACCCGCCGACAUAUGGGCUCCGUGAGAGCGCUGCCUCGUUAUCCCCCGCACCCUGCUGGAGCUGCUAGAUGAAUAAAUCAUGGGCAGGCAGGAAGCA